This 1402-nucleotide ribosomal RNA is filed under the name Microbacterium testaceum. Its description in RNAcentral is "bacterial SSU rRNA". It matches the Rfam family "Bacterial small subunit ribosomal RNA". The record is from RNAcentral. Lineage: Bacteria; Bacillati; Actinomycetota; Actinomycetes; Micrococcales; Microbacteriaceae.
UACACAUGCAGUCGAACGGUGAAGCCAAGCUUGCUUGGUGGAUCAGUGGCGAACGGGUGAGUAACACGUGAGCAACCUGCCCUGGACUCUGGGAUAAGCGCUGGAAACGGCGUCUAAUACUGGAUAUGAGCUCCUUCCGCAUGGUGGGGGUUGGAAAGAUUUUUCGGUCUGGGAUGGGCUCGCGGCCUAUCAGCUUGUUGGUGAGGUAAUGGCUCACCAAGGCGUCGACGGGUAGCCGGCCUGAGAGGGUGACCGGCCACACUGGGACUGAGACACGGCCCAGACUCCUACGGGAGGCAGCAGUGGGGAAUAUUGCACAAUGGGCGGAAGCCUGAUGCAGCAACGCCGCGUGAGGGAUGACGGCCUUCGGGUUGUAAACCUCUUUUAGCAGGGAAGAAGCGAAAGUGACGGUACCUGCAGAAAAAGCGCCGGCUAACUACGUGCCAGCAGCCGCGGUAAUACGUAGGGCGCAAGCGUUAUCCGGAAUUAUUGGGCGUAAAGAGCUCGUAGGCGGUUUGUCGCGUCUGCUGUGAAAUCCCGAGGCUCAACCUCGGGCCUGCAGUGGGUACGGGCAGACUAGAGUGCGGUAGGGGAGAUUGGAAUUCCUGGUGUAGCGGUGGAAUGCGCAGAUAUCAGGAGGAACACCGAUGGCGAAGGCAGAUCUCUGGGCCGUAACUGACGCUGAGGAGCGAAAGGGUGGGGAGCAAACAGGCUUAGAUACCCUGGUAGUCCACCCCGUAAACGUUGGGAACUAGUUGUGGGGACCAUUCCACGGUUUCCGUGACGCAGCUAACGCAUUAAGUUCCCCGCCUGGGGAGUACGGCCGCAAGGCUAAAACUCAAAGGAAUUGACGGGGACCCGCACAAGCGGCGGAGCAUGCGGAUUAAUUCGAUGCAACGCGAAGAACCUUACCAAGGCUUGACAUAUACGAGAACGGGCCAGAAAUGGUCAACUCUUUGGACACUCGUAAACAGGUGGUGCAUGGUUGUCGUCAGCUCGUGUCGUGAGAUGUUGGGUUAAGUCCCGCAACGAGCGCAACCCUCGUUCUAUGUUGCCAGCACGUAAUGGUGGGAACUCAUGGGAUACUGCCGGGGUCAACUCGGAGGAAGGUGGGGAUGACGUCAAAUCAUCAUGCCCCUUAUGUCUUGGGCUUCACGCAUGCUACAAUGGCCGGUACAAAGGGCUGCAAUACCGUAAGGUGGAGCGAAUCCCAAAAAGCCGGUCCCAGUUCGGAUUGAGGUCUGCAACUCGACCUCAUGAAGUCGGAGUCGCUAGUAAUCGCAGAUCAGCAACGCUGCGGUGAAUACGUUCCCGGGUCUUGUACACACCGCCCGUCAAGUCAUGAAAGUCGGUAACACCUGAAGCCGGUGGCCCAACCCUUGUGGAGGGAGCCGUCGAAGGU